RNAcentral lists this ribosomal RNA (504 nucleotides) under uncultured bacterium. RNAcentral's name for it is "partial 16S ribosomal RNA". It matches the Rfam family "Bacterial small subunit ribosomal RNA", at positions 28 to 523 of the family's 1533-position model. The record is from RNAcentral.
GAUGAACGCUAGCGGCAGGCCUAAUACAUGCAAGUCGAACGGGAUCUGAGGGCAGCUUGCUACCCGAUUUGAGAGUGGCGCACGGGUGCGUAACGCGUGAGCAACCUACCCAUAUCAGGGGGAUAGCCCGAAGAAAUUCGGAUUAACACCGCAUAAUAAUACGCUAACACAUGUUGAUGUAUUUAAAUAUUUAUAGGAUAUGGAUGGGCUAGCGUGACAUUAGCUAGUUGGUAAGGUAACGGCUUACCAAGGCGACGAUGUCUAGGGGCUCUGAGAGGAGAAUCCCCCACACUGGUACUGAGACACGGACCAGACUCCUACGGGAGGCAGCAGUAAGGAAUAUUGGUCAAUGGGCGCAAGCCUGAACCAGCCAUGCCGCGUGCAGGAUGACUGCCCUAUGGGUUGUAAACUGCUUUUGUUAGGGAAUAAACCUUCUUACGUGUAAGGAGCUGAAUGUACCUAAAGAAUAAGGAUCGGCUAACUCCGUGCCAGCCGCCGCGGUAA